RNAcentral lists this ribosomal RNA (656 nucleotides) under uncultured bacterium. RNAcentral describes it as "bacterial SSU rRNA". It matches the Rfam family "Bacterial small subunit ribosomal RNA", at positions 139 to 813 of the family's 1533-position model. The record is from RNAcentral.
GGGGACAACAGCUGGAAACGGCUGCUAAUACCGCAUAUGCGCACAGGGCCGCAUGGCCUGGUGUGGAAAACUCCGGUGGUGUAAGAUGGGCCCGCGUCUGAUUAGGUAGUUGGCGGGGUAACGGCACACCAAGCCGACGAUCAGUAGCCGGCCUGAGAGGGUGGACGGCCACAUUGGGACUGAGACACGGCCCAAACUCCUACGGGAGGCAGCAGUGGGGGAUAUUGCACAAUGGGCGCAAGCCUGAUGCAGCGACGCCGCGUGAGCGAAGAAGUAUUUCGGUAUGUAAAGCUCUAUCAGCAGGGAAGAAAAUGACGGUACCUGACUAAGAAGCUCCGGCUAAAUACGUGCCAGCAGCCGCGGUAAUACGUAUGGAGCAAGCGUUAUCCGGAUUUACUGGGUGUAAAGGGAGCGUAGGCGGCUCUGUAAGUCUGAUGUGAAAAUUUGGGGCUCAACUCCAAACGUGCAUUGGAAACUGCAGGGCUUGAGUGUCGGAGAGGCAGGCGGAAUUCCUAGUGUAGCGGUGAAAUGCGUAGAUAUUAGGAGGAACACCAGUGGCGAAGGCGGCCUGCUGGACGGUAACUGACGCUGAGGCUCGAAAGCGUGGGGAGCAAACAGGAUUAGAUACCCUGGUAGUCCACGCCGUAAACGAUGAA